CUUUAAUGUGCCAUAUGAAUGGAUAAGGAUGAUUGGUUGGCCAUUCAAAUUCAAAAUAAAGUUUGAAUUUGAAAGGGCAAUCAAUCUUUGCGCCUUAUCCCUUUUUUUUACGCCCCAUUUAUUACAUGAGAAAAAGUUUCUCAUGAAAUCACUCCAUUCAUAAUUUAAGCCAUGCCUCACACCUUUAGUGGAUAAGGGAUGAUUUGGUAUCCAUUUGAAUUCAAAAUUUGAUUUGAAUUCAAAUGUGCAAUUACUCAUCUUUAUCCUUUCUUUUAGAUAAGACGUUUGACGUUGUUAUAAAAGGAGGAGAAGAGUGGGGCGUGUAAGAAGAAGAUUUUUGGAGAAAAAUUCUAGGGUG
This 358-nucleotide long non-coding RNA is filed under the name Elaeis guineensis (African oil palm). Its description in RNAcentral is "long non-coding RNA (EGUI_LNC050525)". Lineage: Eukaryota; Viridiplantae; Streptophyta; Magnoliopsida; Arecales; Arecaceae. The record is from RNAcentral.